This is a long non-coding RNA of Oreochromis aureus, 698 nucleotides long. The record is from Ensembl. NCBI's taxonomy places the organism in Eukaryota, Metazoa, Chordata, Actinopteri, Cichliformes, Cichlidae.
UCUGAAUAAGUUUGAACUAGACCAAACGAGUCUGAGCAGACUGUGUGAUAGUGGUUUGUCGAUGUGUUCUGAACUGAAAAUCUGCUAAGAAACUUUGAACAAACGUGGCCAAAGUUGGAUGAAAAUUACAAUUUUUCGACCAUUACGGAUUUUACCUGGUCUGAAGUUGGAGUGUAUUAUUUGACCAUUUUUGGACAGGUGCGGGAGUUGCCGGCCAUUUGCCCUAGCAGGCGGAGAGAGGUCGUGGAGUGUCAGCCUAUGGUAUCUGAGGUCCAGGAGAGAUGACCUGCGCUGUUUUCCUCUGAGUAGAUAUCUGAAAAUUUCAUCGGAUCACAAGCAAAGACCUCCUGGGGACCUUCAAUGCAUCCCUUGACAAAGUUGUGCCUGGCCUGCUGAAACUGUACUGGUCUAAGAAGGAGCUCUUGGUGAGGAGAUGGAAGACCUCCUGGAUAAACUUGAUGAACAGACAUCCAACACUGUGUCCAACGGGCACUGAGAGGCCCGCCCAUUUUCCUCAAGAGAAGAUGCAACAGAGGUUUUCCUGAAGUGCUUAGACACUGACAUUUUGGAACCAGUGUUGAACGGUGCAUCAGUUGCCAUCCUCACCAUCCUACAAGAUGACGAUGCUGAUACGUCUGUGCGAGAACAUGCAGUUGUGUUGGAAGGGGACAUUGUGCUACAUAACAUUCCAGAUCUCU